AUGUGCAGUGGUACAGUGGUUGGUGGCCCUGCCUGUGGCAGGGAGUUGGAGAUUCCUGAUCCUUGAGGUCCUUUCCAACCAGUGCCAUUCUGAGUGUGUGUGUGUGACUGGCUAAACACCAAUUGUUGCUAGCUCAGCAGGUAUACUGCUAAUUAUUGAACGUCUGACAGCUGCUUAUCAACACUUGGCCACUAUUUCUGGACACCUGCUCAUCCCUGAAGAGAGAGAAGUUUGGAAGGAGGACAGAGGGGAGUCUCUUGAUGCCUGCCUGUUGCAUCCCAACCUGCCCACAGAGGCAAAUUACUAAACACAUGGUGCUGUACUGCUUCAGAGCAAUCCCACAUUUGAUAGCCAGUGCAGAAACAACAUUCCAUCCUACAGCAUUAGCUAGUUCAGAGGUACCAGACGUGUAUCUGGAUGUGGCUGUUGUGCAUAACUGGGGCUGAGGGAUCAGAAGUGACAGCUCCACUCUUGGAGACCACAGAACUAAAAUGGAAAGAUAAAAUAGUUGCAGGGCAAUUGUUCUCUGUGCCUGAAGCAGGGACCAAUUUAUGGGGGCGAGAUUUAACAGUUAAAUGAGGAUUACAGCUGCAAGUCUGUGAAACAGAUAUCAGGUGUCAAUGGAUGUGUUAUCAGCUGUGAUGAAGAAGAAAUGAAUCCAAAGCUGUGGGCAGGGGAAGGAAAUCGGGGUGGACUCACAAUUUUCCCUUACAAAGAACUGCCCAAGGAGGGAGUGGAGCUGUGAAACAGCAACAAUAUCCCAUAGCCUUAGAAGGGAGAGUGGGUCUAAAAGCUGUAACAGACAGUGGUUAAGGAUGUCUUCUGGAACCUUGUCUGUGGCCUUAUAACACCCCAAUCCUGUCGGCACUGAAAGGCAGACGGCACGUAUCGGCUGGUGCAAGAUGUAAGGAAAUGACUGAACCCGUUCUCAAAAGACAGCCUGUGGUUCCUAACCCCUAUACCCUAAUGAGUCAGAUCCCACACGGACAGCAGUGGUUUGGUGUGAGAGACCUCAAAGAUGCUUUCCGGACAGCCUUUGGACUCAGAGAGAAAUGGCUGCGUUUGUAUGAGGACACAUUGUAAUCCUAUCGUGAUUCGUGAUGAUACUGUAGAUACUGGAACUCGUGCUAAUCCUUGUCUUUGCAACAUGUGAAUCAAGUGACAGGUGCUCCUGUCACCUGCCGAUGCUUCAGAGCUCUUCAGCAUGGACUUCCUUCCUCCCAUCAGCAGCUGCUCCUGCACUGACCUUCAUUCACACUGGGAUACCAUCUGCUUCCAGCAGGAGCUGACCUGCGAGACAGAGAAAGGAAACGUGGGAUGAGCACCAAUGCAGAAGCACAAGGCUGUGUCACCACCACGUCUUGCAGCCUUGGGAAGUCAGCUGCAACUGCAGCCUUGGUCAGAUUUCUUUUGCUUUGGGGAA
RNAcentral lists this long non-coding RNA (1423 nucleotides) under Phasianus colchicus (ring-necked pheasant). RNAcentral's name for it is "lncRNA (ENSPCLG00000017396.1)". Lineage: Eukaryota; Metazoa; Chordata; Aves; Galliformes; Phasianidae. The record is from RNAcentral.